RNAcentral lists this ribosomal RNA (460 nucleotides) under uncultured bacterium. RNAcentral describes it as "partial 16S ribosomal RNA". It matches the Rfam family "Bacterial small subunit ribosomal RNA", at positions 338 to 795 of the family's 1533-position model. The record is from RNAcentral.
CCUACGGGUGGCAGCAGUGAGGAAUAAUGGUCAAUGGACGCAAGUCUGAACCAGCCAUGCCGCGUGCAGGAAGAAGGCUCUAUGAGUUGUAAACUGCUUUUGUACGAGGGUAAACUAAGAUACGCGUAUCUGUAUGAAAGUAUAGUACGAAUAAGGAUCGGCUAACUCCGUGACAUCAGCCGCGGUAAUACGGAGGAUUCAAGCGUUAUCCGGAUUUGUUGGGUUUAAAGGGUGCGUAGGCGGUCGGAUAAGUUAGCGGUGAAAUCCCGGAGCUCAACUUCGGAAUUGCCGCUGAUACUGUUCGGCUAGAGAGUAGGUGCGGUAGGCGGAAUGUAUGGUGUAGCGGUGAAAUGCUUAGAGAUCAUACAGAACACCGAUUGCGAAGGCAGCUUACCAAACUUCUUCUGACGUUGAGGCACGAAAGCGUGGGGAGCAAACAGGAUUAGAUACCCGGGUAGUC